UAGGGAAUUUUCGUCAAUGGGGGCAACCCUGAACGAGCAAUGCCGCGUGAGCGAAGAAGGUCUUCGGAUUGUAAAGCUCUGUUGCCGGGGAAAAAGAAGGAAAGAGGAAAUGCUUUUCUUGGAUGGUACCCGGCCAGAAGGUCACGG
Molecule: ribosomal RNA, 147 nt
Filed under: uncultured bacterium
Lineage: Bacteria
Description: partial 16S ribosomal RNA
Rfam family: Bacterial small subunit ribosomal RNA
Source: RNAcentral